RNAcentral lists this long non-coding RNA (875 nucleotides) under Equus asinus (donkey). RNAcentral's name for it is "lncRNA (ENSEASG00005033622.1)". The record is from RNAcentral. Lineage: Eukaryota; Metazoa; Chordata; Mammalia; Perissodactyla; Equidae.
CUGUUUGGGGAAGGUUGUUUUAAUAUAGAUUCCUGGCCCUCACCCCAGACCUCCUGGAUCAGAAUCUCUGGUUCCCAAGUUUUUCUUAGGCAGCAGUUCUCAGCCUGGGCUGCACAUUAGAAUUACCCAGGGAACUUUUAAAUAGCCCAGGCUGCACCCCAGACCAGUUAAAUUAGAAUCUCUAGAUGGAAGCAGUGGGGAGGGGAGAAUCCAGGCAUCAAUGUGUUUUGAAGCUUGCCAGGUGCUUCCACUGUGCAGCUGAGGUGAAGAAUCCCCGAGUUGAGUUGCAUGGGAGGAGGCGGGCAUCAGGAUCUUUUAAAAGCUUCACGUGGGAUUCUGAUGUGUGGAAAUUACAGAGCGUGCCCUCCGAGACCUGCUGCCUGUAUGAAGGGCGUGUGAGCACUCUCGCUGAGCUCUCGGGGCUGUUUGCCGCAGGAGUGAUUCAUUGGGGUCAAUCCACCUUGGGGCUGGGGAAAAAGCACUGGAGGAAGGUUCAGUCGGUGUGAGUUACGGCCUCAGUUCCGUGAGACGGCGCCGGUACUGGAAGGAACAGCAGGCUUGGACCCGAGAGAUCUUGUCUACAAAUACGUCUUUUUACAACACAUCAUUUAACUUUUCUUGCCUCCAGUUUAUUAAGAUGAACAGACUAAGUCCCAGCAAGUCUAAAUCACCUAUUCAAGAGCUUCCAGCAGGUCGCUGGCAGAGCAGGAGCCAUCCCAUCUCAUAAUGUGAUUCUUAGGUCUAUGAACUUGAGAAGCAAUGAGUCAUGGGCCUGCUACCCAAAUCGAAGGUGGGUUUUCCUAGUGAAAUGUGCAAUAGUGACAUUAAGCAAUGCUGAUUCAAGAAGUCAGUCUCAUGCUUGGUUAAACUAAAAU